RNAcentral lists this microRNA precursor (209 nucleotides) under Oryza sativa Indica Group (long-grained rice). RNAcentral describes it as "MIR812 microRNA precursor family". It matches the Rfam family "MIR812 microRNA precursor family". Lineage: Eukaryota; Viridiplantae; Streptophyta; Magnoliopsida; Poales; Poaceae. The record is from Rfam by way of RNAcentral.
AAUAAGUGCAGUUUUGCACUAUUUACGUUCAACGUUUGACCGUCCGUCUUAUUUGAAAAAUUUGUGAAAAAAUUAAAAACAUUUAGUCACACAUAAAGUACUAUUCAUGUUUCAUCAUCUAAUAGCAAUAAAAAUACUAAUCAUAAAAAAUUUUCAAAUAAGACGGACGGUCAAACGUUGAACAUGAAUAGUGCAAAACUGCACUUAUU